UCAAGCUAGAAAGAGCGCAAGGGGAAUGCCUUGGCAUCAGGAGCCGAUGAAGGACGUGACAAGCUGCGAUAAGCUGCGGUGAGCUGCACAUAAGCUUUGACCCGCAGAUUUCCGAAUGGGGAAACCCGGCAGAGCAAUACUCUGUCAGCGUGCGUUGAAUCAAAUAGGCGUACGCGGGGAACCGCCUGAACUGAAACAUCUAAGUAGGGCGAGGAAGAGAAAUCAACCGAGAUUCCGCUAGUAGUGGCGAGCGAACGCGGAAGAGGGCAAACCGGAGGAUUUAUCCUCCGGGGUUGUGGACAGUUUUUUAGCAACUGGAACUAGGAGAACGGUAUGGGAAGGCCGGCCAUAGCGGGUGAUAGCCCCGUAUCCGAAAGGGAAGGUUGUGCGACUGGAUCCAGAGUACCGCCGGACACGUGAAACCCGGUGGGAAGCUGGGGGGACCACCCUCCAACCCUAAAUACUACCUGAUGACCGAUAGAGGAGCAGUACCGUGAGGGAAAGGUGAAAAGGACCCCGGGAGGGGAGUGAAAGAGAACCUGAAACCUUGUGCUUACAAGCACUCAAAGCCCGUUAAAGGGUGAUGAGGUACCUUUUGUAGAAUGGUCCGGCGAGUUAUUGUUACUGGCAAGCUUAAGGCAUUCAGUGCCGGAGGCGCAGGGAGACCGAGUCUGAAUAGGGCGUAUGAAGUCAGUGGCAAUAGACCCGAAACCGGGUGACCUAUCCAUGGGCAGGUUGAAGUGGGGGUAAAACCCCAUGGAGGACCGAACGCACGCCCGUUGCAAUGGUCGGCGAUGACCUGUGGAUAGCGGUGAAAUUCCAAUCGAACUCGGAGAUAGCUGGUUCUCCCCGAAAUAGCUUUAGGGCUAGCGUUGGCUUAGAUUACCGGAGGUAAAGCACUGAAUGGGCUAGGGGCCGAUAAGGUUACUGAACCCUAUCAAACUCUGAAUGCCGGAUAAUUGAUGGCCAGCAGUCAGUCUACGUGAGAUAAGUCUCGUGGACAAAAGGGAAACAGCCCAGACCCACAGCUAAGGUCCCAAAGAUACGCUAAGUGGAAAACGAUGUGGAGUUGCGAAAACAACCAGGAUGUUGGCUUAGAAGCAGCCACUCAUUAAAAGAGUGCGUAAUAGCUCACUGGUCGAGUGACUCUGCGCGGAAAAUAUAACGGGGCUAAGCGUAACACCGAAGCUUGGGCUGCACAGCAAUGUGCGGGGUAGGGGAGCGUCGAAUAUGGGGUGAAGUCGCAGCGGAAGCAGCGGUGGACUGUAUUCGAGUGAGAAUGCCGGAAUGAGUAGCGAGAAUUAUGUGGGAAUCAUAAUGGCCGAAAAUCUAAGGUUUCCUGGGGAAGGUUCGUCCGCCCAGGGUAAGCCGGGAGCUAAGGCGAGGCCGAAAGGCGUAGUCGAUGCACAUACGGUUGAAAUUCCGUAGCCACCGAACCUUAAGUACACUGACACAUAGAGAUAGCGGGACCCGGGCGUUGGUUGACCCGGGCGUAAGGGACCGAACUAUAGUAGGGAAGUCCGCGAUGCUCUGUGGCGAGAAAAGGUGUAUGGUAUGCUAAGGUGCCCGUACCGCAAACCGACACAGGUAGAUGAGGAGAGAAUCCUAAGGCCAACGGGAGAAGGGUUGUUAAGGAACUCGGCAAAAUGACCCCGUAACUUCGGGAUAAGGGGAGCCUCCUACGGGAGGCCGCAGCGAAUAGGCCCAAGCGACUGUUUACCAAAAACACAGGUCUCUGCUAAAUCGAAAGAUGACGUAUAGGGGCUGACGCCUGCCCGGUGCUGGAAGGUUAAGAGGAGAUGUUAGCCGCAAGGCGAAGCAUUGAAUCGAAGCCCCAGUAAACGGCGGCCGUAACUAUAACGGUCCUAAGGUAGCGAAAUUCCUUGUCAGGUAAGUUCUGACCCG
Molecule: ribosomal RNA, 1905 nt
Filed under: human gut metagenome
Description: bacterial LSU rRNA
Rfam family: Bacterial large subunit ribosomal RNA
Source: RNAcentral